GCAGUAGCCGCGGUAAUACGUAGGGGGCAAGCGUUGUCCGGAAUUAUUGGGCGUAAAGCGCGCGCAGGCGGUUUUUUAAGUCUGGUGUCUAAGUGCGGGGCUCAACCCCGUGACGCACUGGAAACUGGGAGACUUGAGUGCAGAAGAGGAGAGCGGAAUUCCACGUGUAGCGGUGAAAUGCGUAGAGAUGUGGAGGAACACCAGUGGCGAAGGCGGCUCUCUGGACUGUAACUGACGCUGAGGCGCGAAAGCGUGGGGAGCAAACAGGAUUAGAGACCCCAGUAGUCCCUGUCUCUUAUACA
This 302-nucleotide ribosomal RNA is filed under the name uncultured bacterium. Its description in RNAcentral is "partial 16S ribosomal RNA". It matches the Rfam family "Bacterial small subunit ribosomal RNA", at positions 508 to 808 of the family's 1533-position model. The record is from RNAcentral.